UGUCUUUUAGAAAUUUAAUUUAAAGUCUAGCCUGCCCACUGAAUUUUUUUUUAAAUGGCCGCAGUAUCCUAACUGUGCAAAGGUAGCAUAAUCAUUAGUCUUUUAAUUGAAGGCUGGAAUGAAUGGUUGGAUGAAAUAUUAACUGUUUCAUAAAAGAUUUAUAAUAGAAUUUUAUUUUUUAGUUAAAAAGCUAAAAUAUUCUUAAAAGACGAGAAGACCCUAUAAAUCUUUAUAUUAAGAAAAUUAGAAUUAUUUAGAUAAUUUUAAUUUUAUUUUUUUUUAAUAUUUUAUUGGGGUGAUAUUAAAAUUUAAUAAACUUUUAAUUUAUUCUAAACAUAAAUUAAUGAAUUAUUGAUCCAUAAAUUAUGAUUAAAAAAUUAAGUUACUUUAGGGAUAACAGCGUAAUUUUUUUAGAGAGUUCAUAUUGAUAAAAAAGAUUGCGACCUCGAUGUUGGAUUAAGAUAUAAUUUUAGGUGUAGCAGCUUAAACUUAAAGUCUGUUCGACUUUUAAAUUCUUACAUGAUCUGAGU
This 530-nucleotide ribosomal RNA is filed under the name Myriophora spicaphora. RNAcentral's name for it is "partial 16S ribosomal RNA". The stretch from base 393 to 530 matches the Rfam family "Bacterial large subunit ribosomal RNA", at positions 2473 to 2610 of the family's 2925-position model. Lineage: Eukaryota; Metazoa; Arthropoda; Insecta; Diptera; Phoridae. The record is from RNAcentral.